RNAcentral lists this long non-coding RNA (767 nucleotides) under Sorghum bicolor (sorghum). Its description in RNAcentral is "long non-coding RNA (SBIC_LNC008189)". The record is from RNAcentral. Lineage: Eukaryota; Viridiplantae; Streptophyta; Magnoliopsida; Poales; Poaceae.
ACGACUUAGACUUUAGAUCAAGUACUCUCCCCACAAGUUCAGGUUUAGAGCAAAUCUUAAUUAAUAACAGUCAUGCCUAAACUUAAGAGAGAUUUCAAUUUUGAGAAUUAGUCAUGGCAGAGCAACUAUUCAUCAUUUCCAUGUGAGAGCUUAUCAUGAGGGUUCAUAGCAAACUUUAUUUAUUUAUUUAUUUAGCAAACUAAGCAAAGAUAUAUAAACACAAAAUCUUUAUUUGGGUUUUUAUGAUUAUGCAUCUUUUUAUUAUUUGAGUAAAGUGUAAACAUGAGUAGAAACACUUAGCUGGAUAAAUGGGGGUGCUCUCCCCCAAGCUGGAUCUUGACAUAAUUUCUUCUGAUGUAGCUAGCAGGUGGCGGAGGUGUAUUUGAAUGUCGGCAGCACCCUCGCAGCGAUUAGGAUGUCCUUUGUCUGCUAGUCUUCUUUGGUCCUUGAAUUCUGUGGAGCUCAAAUAGAUAACAAAGCUUUGUGGAACUGGUUAAGUGUUAGCAUAAAUAUCUAGCCUUUAUCAUGUUGAGCCUCCUCAGUAAAUGUUACACUCUUUGGUAUGAUCAUAAAUUUAUUUUUAUAUUUUCAUUUUUAUAGGAUAGGAAUAUAUUUAUUUUAUUUUUACGCCACAACAGUGAAUGUACUUAUGGGUUUUAUGCCAUGAGCAUACUCACAUGGGGCUUACUAUUUCUAACAUUUUUAUUUUCUUUUCAAGAUGAUAUAAACCUGAUUAACUAAGCAAAGUAUUUUAAAUAAUUGAAAGG